UGGGGAAUAUUGCACAAUGGGCGCAAGCCUGAUGCAGCCAUGCCGCGUGUAUGAAGAAGGCCUUCGGGUUGUAAAGUACUUUCAGCGGGGAGGAAGGCGAUAAGGUUAAUAACCUUGUCGAUUGACGUUACCCGCAGAAGAAGCACCGGCUAACUCCGUGCCAGCAGCCGCGGUAAUACGGAGGGUGCAAGCGUUAAUCGGAAUUACUGGACGUAAAGCGCACGCAGGCGGUCUGUCAAGUCGGAUGUGAAAUCCCCGGGCUCAACCUGGGAACUGCAUUCGAAACUGGCAGGCUAGAGUCUUGUAGAGGGGGGUAGAAUUCCAGGUGUAGCGGUGAAAUGCGUAGAGAUCUGGAGGAAUACCGGUGGCGAAGGCGGCCCCCUGGACAAAGACUGACGCUCAGGUGCGAAAGCGUGGGGAGCAAACA
Molecule: ribosomal RNA, 427 nt
Filed under: uncultured bacterium
Lineage: Bacteria
Description: partial 16S ribosomal RNA
Rfam family: Bacterial small subunit ribosomal RNA
Source: RNAcentral